UGGGGGAAACCCUGAUCCAGCGACGCCGCGUGUGUGAAGAAGGCCUGCGGGUUGUAAAGCACUUUUAGUGGGGAUGAAAAGCUCAGGGCUAAUACCCCUGGGUCUUGACCUAACCCACAGAAAAAGCACCGGCUAACUCUGUGCCAGCAGCCGCGGUAAUACAGAGGGUGCAAGCGUUAAUCGGAAUUACUGGGCGUAAAGCGUGCGUAGACGGUCAUGUAAGUCGGGUGUGAAAGCCCCGGGCUCAACCUGGGAAUUGCAUUCGAGACUGCAUGGCUAGGGUGCGGAAGAGGGAAGCGGAGUUUCCGGUGUAGCGGUGAAAUGCGUAGAUAUCGGAAGGAACACCAGUGGCGAAAGCGGCUUCCUGGUCCAGCACCGACGUUCAGGCACGAAAGCGUGGGGAGCAAACAGGAUUAGAUACCCUGGUAGUCCACGCCAUAAACGAUGAGAACUAGACGU
RNAcentral lists this ribosomal RNA (459 nucleotides) under uncultured Gammaproteobacteria bacterium. RNAcentral's name for it is "bacterial SSU rRNA". It matches the Rfam family "Bacterial small subunit ribosomal RNA", at positions 372 to 823 of the family's 1533-position model. Lineage: Bacteria; Pseudomonadati; Pseudomonadota; Gammaproteobacteria. The record is from RNAcentral.